Molecule: long non-coding RNA, 855 nt
Filed under: Helianthus annuus (common sunflower)
Lineage: Eukaryota; Viridiplantae; Streptophyta; Magnoliopsida; Asterales; Asteraceae
Description: hypothetical non coding rna
Source: RNAcentral
GCGCGCAUGGCGACUUAUGUGCUCGUAAGUAAUGGAGUAUGCGCGCGAAGCGACUAACGGGCUCGUAUGUAGAGGAGCAUGUGCGCGUGGCGACUUACGUGCUCGUCUGUAGAGGAGUAUGCGCGCGUGGCGACUUACGUGCUCGUAUGUAAAAGAGCAUGCGCGCGUGGCGACUUACGUGCUCGUAUGUAAAAGAGCAUGCGCGCGUGGCGACUUACGUGCUCGUAUGUAAAAGAGCAUGCGCGCGUGGCGACUUACGUGCUCGUAUGUAAUAGAGCAUGCGCGCGUGGCGACUUACGUGCUCGUAUGUAAAAGAGCAUGCGCGCGUGGCGACUUACGUGCUCGUAUUGUAAAAGAGCAUGUGCGCGUGGCGACUUACGUGCUCGUAUGUAAAAGAGCAUGCGCGCGUGGCGACUUACGUGCUCGUAUGUAAUAGAGCAUGCGUGCGUGGCGACUUACGUGCUCGUAUGUAAUAGAGCAUGCGCCAGCCGGCGACUUACGUGCUCGUAUGUAAUAGAGCAUGCGCGCGUGGCGACUUACGUGCUCGUAUGUAAAAGAGCAUGCGCGCGUGGCGACUUACGUGCUCGUAUUGUAAAAGAGCAUGCGCGCAUGGCGACUUACGUGCUCGUAUGUAAUAGAGCAUGCGUUACGUGCUCGUAUGUAAAAGAGCAUGCGCGCGUGGCGACUUACGUGCUCGUAUGUAAUAGAGCAUGCGCACGUGGCGACUUACGUGCUCGUAUGUAAUAGAGCAUGCGCCAGCCGGCGACUUACGUGCUCGUAAGUAAAAGAGCAUGCGCGCGUGGCGACUUACGUGCUCGUGAUUAAAGGAGCAUGCGCGCGUGGCGACUUACGUGC